Molecule: transfer RNA, 72 nt
Filed under: Camelus ferus (Wild Bactrian camel)
Lineage: Eukaryota; Metazoa; Chordata; Mammalia; Artiodactyla; Camelidae
Rfam family: tRNA
About the family: Transfer RNA (tRNA) molecules are approximately 80 nucleotides in length. Their secondary structure includes four short double-helical elements and three loops (D, anti-codon, and T loops).
Source: Rfam by way of RNAcentral
GAGGAUAUAGCUCAGUGGUAGAGUGCUUGUUUAGCAUGCAUGUGGUCCUGGGUUCAAUCCCCAAUGUCUCCA